This 1137-nucleotide ribosomal RNA is filed under the name Hymenoscyphus scutula. RNAcentral describes it as "LSU rRNA". It matches the Rfam family "Eukaryotic large subunit ribosomal RNA", at positions 76 to 1424 of the family's 3401-position model. The record is from RNAcentral. Lineage: Eukaryota; Fungi; Ascomycota; Leotiomycetes; Helotiales; Helotiaceae.
UACCUCAGUAACGGCGUAGUGAAGCGGUAACAGCUCAAAUUUGAAAUCUGGCGCUUUCAGCGUCCGAGUUGUAAUUUGUAGAAGAUGCUUUGGGUGUGGCUCCGGUCUAAGUUCCUUGGAACAGGACGUCAUAGAGGGUGAGAAUCCCGUAUGUGACUGGUUGCCUUCGCCUAUGUAAAGCUCUUUCGACGAGUCGAGUUGUUUGGGAAUGCAGCUCUAAAUGGGAGGUAUAUUUCUUCUAAAGCUAAAUAUUGGCCAGAGACCGAUAGCGCACAAGUAGAGUGAUCGAAAGAUGAAAAGCACUUUGGAAAGAGAGUUAAACAGUACGUGAAAAUUGUUGAAAGGGAAGCGCUUGCAACCCAGACUUGCCCGCCGUGGAUCAUCCUUCGUUCUCGAUGGUGCACUCCGCGGCGGUCAGGCCCAGCAUCGGUUUUGGUGGUGGGAUAAAGGCCUUGGGAACGUAGCUCCUCUCGGGGAGUGUUAUAGCCCUCGGUGCAAUGCCGCCUACCGGGACCGAGGACCGCGCUUCGGCUAGGAUGCUGGCGUAAUGGUUGUAAGCGACCCGUCUUGAAACACGGACCAAGGAGUCUAACAUCUAUGCGAGUGUUUGGGUGUUAAACCCAUACGCGUAAUUAACGUGAACGGAGGUGAGAACCCUUUAGGGUGCAUCAUCGACCGAUCCUGAUGUCUUCGGAUGGAUUUGAGUAAGAGCAUAGCUGUUGGGACCCGAAAGAUGGUGAACUAUGCCUAAAUAGGGUGAAGCCAGAGGAAACUCUGGUGGAGGCUCGCAGCGGUUCUGACGUGCAAAUCGAUCGUCAAAUUUGGGUAUAGGGGCGAAAGACUAAUCGAACCAUUAAGGAACAACUACUAGGUGGGUAGACGCGCGCCGCAGGGUGCGCGUAGUCCGUCUAGGGCAACACUGUCAAAUUGCGGGGACCUCCUGUGAAAGUACUACUACCGCAGCGAGGGCGAAAGCUCUCGUGCGCACCAGGUUAGCGACCUUGGGGAUGGUAAAACGUUAGUGCUAGGACGACCUUGCAGCCAAACCCUACCCACGGGUGCCGUUCACAGACUAAAUGUCAGUGGGGUGUGCGUUACGCACGCUCUAAGUUAUAGUCGAGCCUCGGUAGCAAUGCC